GGGAGAGUUACAGGCUUCAGACUUUAUCUCGUUGUGGAAAGCAAGAGACCAAGCCAAAAACUUUGGUCGUGCUUUUCAACAUCUCCGGUCAAAAGAGGUAGGAUCCCUGCUCGUUUAUCUGCAAAAGCGACAUUUAAAAGAAACGCCCCCCACCCCCUCCCCGAUGGUUUCACUCGGUUCAUGUUGCACACACAGGUCGCCAAUCUGCUUUUCUCCCAUUGCUGCGUCUUAGAGGGGUGUGGUGCCAUGAUACCACUUUUGAAAAUCCUGUUGAAUGCAAGUCCUCUUUGUUGCUCAUUGAACAAUGAGGAUAUUUAGCUCCCCUCAGAGCUACCCUCAGAGUUGGAUGAG
Molecule: long non-coding RNA, 351 nt
Filed under: Homo sapiens (human)
Lineage: Eukaryota; Metazoa; Chordata; Mammalia; Primates; Hominidae
Description: non-protein coding CHL1-AS2:4
Source: RNAcentral